UACAGAGGGUGCAAGCGUUGUUCGGAAUUACUGGGCGUAAAGCGCGCGUAGGCGGCCCUGCAAGUCGGGUGUGAAAUCCCACGGCUCAACCGUGGAAGUGCAUUCGAAACUGCAGGGCUAGAGUCCUGGAGAGGAAGGUGGAAUGCUUGGUGUAGAGGUGAAAUUCGUAGAUAUCAAGCGGAACACCGGUGGCGAAGGCGGCCUUCUGGACAGUGACUGACGCUGAGACGCGAAAGCGUGGGGAGCAAACAGG
Molecule: ribosomal RNA, 253 nt
Filed under: uncultured bacterium
Lineage: Bacteria
Description: partial 16S ribosomal RNA
Rfam family: Bacterial small subunit ribosomal RNA
Source: RNAcentral